Non-coding RNA from Gambusia affinis (western mosquitofish), 360 nucleotides. The record is from the annotation of a RefSeq genome assembly. NCBI's taxonomy places the organism in Eukaryota, Metazoa, Chordata, Actinopteri, Cyprinodontiformes, Poeciliidae.
AUGGACCACAAAUCAGGAAUCUUUCUCUUUAUCAUCUGCUUUAUGGGUGUUGAUGGCCAGACUCUGACAGAAUCAGAUCCAGUGGUUAAAAUACCUGGAGAAUCCCACAAACUGACCUGUACAGCUUCAGGAUUCACAUUUAGUGACCGCUGGAUGUCUUGGAUAAGACAGAGUCCAGGGAAAGGACCGGAGUGGCUCGCUGAUAUCAAUGGUGAUGGUGGCAGCACAUACUACUCCCAGUCAGUUCGAGGCCGUUUUACCAUCUCCAGAGACAACGGCAAACAGCAGGUGUAUUUACAGAUGAACAGCCUGAGAACAGAGGAUUCUGCUGUUUAUUUCUGUGUUCGAGAGGCACAGUGA